AACACCCACAAACAACGUCACGACGCAACGUGGUUAAACAGUACGUUUAUUAAAGUAACUGGGUGAACGACAUCGGAGCGGACUGCAAAUCGCAACGCUACUUUCUCGAGUGCAGAUACUCUUCGAGACGGCUAAACAACGUGUCCAACUCGCUGAGACCUUUCCGCGUGCCGUUAUCCGAUUUCCUUUCCGCCUCCUGAGACAGCCGACUAAUCACGGACUUAUCUCCGCAACCUAACAGAGGCUGGGAGCCCGACAAAAGUAAAACAGCGUGCUAUGAACACGUUGUUACCUCUGCGCGGACAGCGCCGCCACAGAGACACUUACGCAUUGCCGCAUGUCUUUGUAGAUGGAUUCUAGCGUCGAGCGCAUACUAUGCAAUUCCGUCUUAAGUCCAGGAUAGACGUGGUCGCCUGCGGGGAACACGAUCUCCAGAUACCGCCUCAACAACCAGUCCAUGACGCUGCAUCCCCAACAGCCUUUGACCACCGUACCGUCGAGCCACACGGAGUAGUCGUCCUCACGUUGCUACAAGAGGAAAACUACGUCACUCGACACGCGGAAAAGAAAGACCGUCGCAAUAAACCGUACCUACGUGACCUACCAACGUAGGUUUUACUCGAUGAAAGGUGACGCGGAGAUCUUGCAAUCUGGUCGCGUAAUCCUCCGGACGACACUGCGGCUUUGUAUUCUUUAUCGUCGUCGUCGUCGUCGUCGCCGCCGGCUUCGCCUCCUCGGAAGCGCCUAGAAAAAAGACGAUCAGGACCAGAGAGGAAGAGACCAUCACCGACAGCAUCGCCGCAGCAUGCCGCCCCAAUCCGCCGCCCAACUGCGCGUCCCAGAUACCACUCGUAGACUGUCAGCCUCGCGAGGAGACACCGCGGACCGGGGAAACGGAUAAGUUUACGAACAGAAAUCUCAAGAGAAAGACGCUGACCCGGCAAGUACCGUCACGGAGACACGGUGGUUUUUAUUGAAUUUCCAGUGUAUCGAGCCACCGUGAUGCAGGUACGGUGGUUUUAUGUGAAGUGCCGCUAUCUAUAGGCGAUGUGUUCCCUGACGGUGUGUGUUUUUUGGGGAUAGACAACGUGGUUCUUGUACGUGGUUUUUACCCUGCUCAAUAAAGUCACGUUUUCCUUACACGGUGUUGUGUC
Molecule: long non-coding RNA, 1154 nt
Filed under: Human betaherpesvirus 5
Lineage: Duplodnaviria; Heunggongvirae; Peploviricota; Herviviricetes; Herpesvirales; Orthoherpesviridae
Description: RNA5.0
Source: RNAcentral